GAUAAAGAAACCGCCCAAAGGAGCGCUCGGGCCGAGAACUGUCGCGAGCUAGCAUAGAGCGAACUGGAAAGAUGUGGCAGGCGGCAGCCGCCAUCUUAGACGGGGCUGCUGGAUGGUAUCAAAAAGCAGACUAUUUGCCUCACAUCAUGACAAUGGAAUUCACCUCUCACAAUGAGCCAAGUGGGACCUGAACUGUGCUAUGUCAGCUUACCUGGGGAUAGAGCUUUCAUGAACCUCUGGGAUGGAUACAAAAAACAUAUGACUAAACAUGAUCUGGACAUUCCCUAAUGGGUUACCCUGCUAGAAUUGGGACAUCCCCUACGGACUCUUGAGAGUUUUUCCAUGUGUGCAGUGGGGUGAUGGGACAGCAAAUAGGGGGCAUCAGCAAAAGAUCUCCUGUUUUCUUUGGGAAAUUACUAAGAAAAUUGCAUAGCACUGUCAAUAUUUUCUUAUUCCAUCAUUGCACAGCAAUUAAGUUAUUACAUUUUGCAGACAACAGUUUUAGUCGUUGUUCUAUCUCUAGCAUAGCUAAUCAACUAAUAGGCAUCCCAAUCACCUCUAAUCAGGGAGCUUGCUUUAAACAUCUGAAAUUAUUUCCUGUUCUGCUGUUGCAACUGUGCUGCAGAUCAAACAGAUAUUCCUUUCCUAAUCACACUCUUCUCUCCCACACAAAUACACCAACCAACACCAUCCUUAAGGCAAUCCACCCAUGAUUGCUACUGCAAGAUCAGCUUCUAGGUACAGGAGUUUCCAUGAGGUGUUAGGGUCCUUGAGGUGAGGAGGUAAAUUGUGGUGGGUGAAAGUGAGUGAGGGGAGUAAAAAAAGGUAAACAAGGCUGAAUAUUUGAAGGAGCCCCUCAUUAAAAGUUCAUCACCAAUUUAAUGGUUAAUAUUGGCUUGACAUCAGAAGAAUGUUGCCAUUUAACAUUUCAAACAUUUAGGGCCAAAUCCUGCUUCUAUGAAUAUCAGUGGGCGUUUUGCCUGAAUAAAGGAGUGUGAACUAUGCAAGGACCGACCUUAGGAUUUGAGAAGCGAUGUUAUAGUGAUAAAUAACUAGUUCCCACUUUUCAACUGCAAAUAAAGCAGUUAAUAGAAAUAAAAUUGAUUCAGGAAUGCUACAGAAACACUUACCCUAUUACUGUGGGAGCUGAGGCAAUCAGCAGGGCCCCCACUAGAUGGUACCAUAACACUUUAGUCACAGAGAAGAGCCUCAGAGACCAGAUUUUUACCUUGCAUUGAAAUCAAUAGGUGUUAGGCCCCUAAAUACCUUUAAAAAUCUGGUCCCAAUGUCUUGAGAAGCAUGUUGAAAGGAUCAAGAGGGGAAGUGAUGGCUCCCUUUGGCUCCUGCACAUUGCAUGGACUCUCUAGAACAAAUAGUGGGGAUCGUGUGAAACUACCGGAGGCAGAGAAAAUACCUUGCAAGGACUCAUCUUUUCACCAAACUCCUUGCAGUACUAAUAGACUGAGUGCAACCCUUAAUAAGAUAUUGAUUUUGGGGAGAUCUUUUAGUGGCUUUGUGUCAGGACAGAGGUUGAAAACAAUGUCUCACAUUAGACCUAUUCCCCUUUCAAAGCCUUACUUUUUCUGAGAACACUUAGUUUUUAUUUGAAAGGAAAUCAGCUGAUCUGCUUACCUGAGCAGUUCCUAACAUCAUGGUCCCCAGUGAAUGUAGCUAUGCUAAUGGAGGCCAUUUUGGGGAAAGAAGGUAGUUGUCUGACAUGCAUUUAUAGAAGUUACAAAGAUGUGAUCAGUGGCCAUAUGUUAACCUACUUCAAUAACACUCCCCUUUGGCACACCCACAGAAUUGGGUAAACCCAGGUGAAUUCAGGGUCACUUGAUUUUCAAAGGAGCUAAGCAUCUGCAGCUCUGAGUGACUUCUGUGGGUGUUCAGGGAUUAUGAGGAAAGAGCAGACAUUUCUGUUUAACUUUGAGUGUAUGUUAAUUUUGUUGUAGAAGCCUUAGUUAUUUAUGUAGUGUUACAAGGUCUUUAUAAGAGCCAAGUGAAGUUGUUUGACCUAGCCUACAGUACAAGAAAUCUGAGGACAUCUGUCUAAAUGGGAAGAGUUAUGGACUUUGUAAAGCUCAAACCUAUGAUCUACUUGUGUUCCCCCC
This is a long non-coding RNA of Trachemys scripta elegans, 2111 nucleotides long. RefSeq lists it as uncharacterized. The record is from RefSeq and is a predicted model, not a curated record. Lineage: Eukaryota; Metazoa; Chordata; Testudines; Emydidae. The transcript has 4 exons.